This 253-nucleotide ribosomal RNA is filed under the name uncultured bacterium. RNAcentral describes it as "partial 16S ribosomal RNA". It matches the Rfam family "Bacterial small subunit ribosomal RNA", at positions 524 to 776 of the family's 1533-position model. The record is from RNAcentral.
UACAGAGGGUGCUAGCGUUAAUCGGAUUUACUGGGCGUAAAGCGUGUGUAGGCGGUUCGUUAAGUCGGAUGUGAAAGCCCUGGGCUCAACCUAGGAAUUGCAUUCGAUACUGGCGGGCUAGAGUACGGUAGAGGGCGGCGGAAUUCCGGGUGUAGCGGUGAAAUGCGUAGAUAUCCGGAGGAACACCGAUGGCGAAGGCAGCUCGCUGGGACGGUACUGACGCUGAGGCGCGAAAGCGUGGGGAGCAAACAGG